GCAGAUUUCUCCUUUCCUCUUCUUCUUCUUCUUCUUCUAUUAA
This 43-nucleotide small RNA is filed under the name Arabidopsis thaliana (thale cress). RNAcentral describes it as "ATSL127810". The record is from RNAcentral. Lineage: Eukaryota; Viridiplantae; Streptophyta; Magnoliopsida; Brassicales; Brassicaceae.